UCCUACGGGGGGCAGCAGUAGGGAAUCUUCCACAAUGGGCGAAAGCCUGAUGGAGCAACGCCGCGUGGGUGAAGAAGGUCUUCGGAUCGUAAAACCCUGUUGUUAGAGAAGAAAGUGCGUGAGAGUGACUGUUCACGUUUCGACGGUAUCUAACCAGAAAGCCACGGCUAACUACGUGCCAGCAGCCGCGGUAAUACGUAGGUGGCAAGCGUUAUCCGGAUUUAUUGUGCGUAAAGGGAACGCAGGCGGUCUUUUAAGCCUGAUGUGACAGCCUUCGGCUUUACCGGAGUCGU
This 293-nucleotide ribosomal RNA is filed under the name uncultured bacterium. RNAcentral describes it as "partial 16S ribosomal RNA". It matches the Rfam family "Bacterial small subunit ribosomal RNA", at positions 337 to 622 of the family's 1533-position model. The record is from RNAcentral.